Molecule: ribosomal RNA, 372 nt
Filed under: uncultured fungus
Lineage: Eukaryota; Fungi
Description: eukaryotic LSU rRNA
Rfam family: 5.8S ribosomal RNA (bases 1-105)
Source: RNAcentral
GAAAUGCGAUAAGUAAUGUGAAUUGCAGAAUUCAGUGAAUCAUCGAAUCUUUGAACGCACCUUGCGCUCCUUGGUAUUCCGAGGAGCAUGCCUGUUUGAGUGUCAUGGAAUUCUCAACCCUCUUAUCCUUGUGGUGAGAUUGGGUUGGAUUUGGAGGUUUAUGCUGGCUUGUAAUGAGUCGGCUCCUCUUGAAUGCAUUAGCUUGGACCUUUGCGGAUCAGCUUUUCGGUGUGAUAAUUGUCUACGCCGUGGGCUGUGAUGCUGUUUAACAUGCUUCGGCGUGUUGGGGUUCUGCUUCUAAUGGUCCCUUUGGUGGGACAACUUACUUUGACCUCUGACCUCAAAUCAGGUAGGAUUACCCGCUGAACUUAA